AGUCAUGUCAGCUUUCGCUUCU
RNAcentral lists this small nuclear RNA (22 nucleotides) under Arabidopsis thaliana (thale cress). Its description in RNAcentral is "snRNA_13546". Lineage: Eukaryota; Viridiplantae; Streptophyta; Magnoliopsida; Brassicales; Brassicaceae. The record is from RNAcentral.